AUCAUGGCUCAGGAUGAACGCUGGCGGCGUGCAUAACACAUUCAAGUCGAAACGGGAAUCUGUGGAAAGAGGCUUCGGCCAAUGGAAGCAGAGGACAGUGGCGAACGGGUGAGUAACGCGUGAAGGAACCUGCCUUUCAGGAGGGGGACAACAGUUGGAAACGACUGCUAAUACCGCAUAAUGUAUCGUGACCGCAUGAUCGUGAUACCAAAGAUUUAUCGCUGAAAGAGUGGCCUCGCGUCUGAUUAGAUAGUUGGUGAGGUAACGGCCCACCAAGGCGACGAUCAGUAGCCGGCCUGAGAGGGUGAACGGCCACAGUUGGGACUGAGACACCGGACCCAAACCUCCCGUACGGGGAGGCAGCAGGUGGGGAAUAUUGGACAAGUGGGGGAAACCCUGAUCCAGCGACGCCGCGUGAGUGAAGAAGUAUUUCGGUAUGUAAAGCUCUAUCAGCAGGGAAGAAAAUGACGGUACCUGACUAAGAAGCCCCGGCUAACUACGUG
RNAcentral lists this ribosomal RNA (503 nucleotides) under uncultured bacterium. RNAcentral's name for it is "bacterial SSU rRNA". It matches the Rfam family "Bacterial small subunit ribosomal RNA", at positions 16 to 507 of the family's 1533-position model. The record is from RNAcentral.